Long non-coding RNA from Oncorhynchus tshawytscha (Chinook salmon), 437 nucleotides. NCBI's taxonomy places the organism in Eukaryota, Metazoa, Chordata, Actinopteri, Salmoniformes, Salmonidae. The record is from Ensembl.
UGUAGAUAGUGGUGUUGUAGUGUUGUAUACUGUAGAUAGUGGUAUUGUAGUGUUGUAUACUGUAGAUAGUGGUGUUGUAGUGUUGUAUACUGUAGAUAGUGGUGUUGUAGUGUUGUAUACUGUAGAUAGUGGUGUUGUAUACUGUAGAUAGUGGUGUUGUAGUGUUGUAUACUGUAGAUAGUGGUGUUGUAGUGUUGUAUACUGUAGAUAGUGGUGUUGUAGUGUGGUAUACUGUAGAUAGUGGUGUUGUAGUGUUGUAUACUGUAGAUAGUGGUGUUGUAUACUGUAGAUAGUGGUGUUGUAGUGUUGUAUACUGUAGAUAGUGGUGUUGUAUACUGUAGAUAGUGGUGUUGUAGUGUUGUAUACUGUAGAUAGUGGUGUUGUAUACUGUAGAUAGUGGUGUUGUAGUGUUGUAUACUGUAGAUAGUGGUGUUGUA